UCUGUGGCUCAGUCGGCAGAGCGACGCACUCGUAAUGCGUAGGUCAUCGGUUCGAAUCCGAUCAG
Molecule: transfer RNA, 65 nt
Filed under: bovine gut metagenome
Rfam family: tRNA
About the family: Transfer RNA (tRNA) molecules are approximately 80 nucleotides in length. Their secondary structure includes four short double-helical elements and three loops (D, anti-codon, and T loops).
Source: RNAcentral